AACGAACGCUGGCGGCAGGCUUAACACAUGCAAGUCGAACGGGCGUAGCAAUACGUCAGUGGCGGACGGGUGAGUAACACGUGGGAAUAUGCCUUUCGGUUCGGAACAACUCGGGGAAACUCGUGCUAAUUCCGGAUACGCCCUUACGGGAAGGAUUAUCGCCGAAGGAUUAGCCCGCGUUGGAUCAGCUAGUUGGUGAGGUAAUGGCCCACCAAGGCGACGAUCCAUAGCUGGUUUGAGAGAACGACCAGCCACACUGGGACUGAGACACGGCCCAGACUCCUACGGGAGGCAGCAGUGGGGAAUCUUGGACAAUGGAGGGAAACUCUGAUCCAGCCAUGCCGCGUGAGUGAUGAAGGCCUUCGGUUG
This 369-nucleotide ribosomal RNA is filed under the name uncultured bacterium. RNAcentral's name for it is "bacterial SSU rRNA". It matches the Rfam family "Bacterial small subunit ribosomal RNA", at positions 29 to 425 of the family's 1533-position model. The record is from RNAcentral.